UACGGAGGAUGCGAGCGUUAUCCGGAUUUAUUGGGUUUAAAGGGUGCGCAGGCGGGCUAUUAAGUCAGCGGUGAAAUAUUCAGGCUCAACCUGAAGACUGCCGUUGAAACUGUUAGCCUUGAGUAUAGAUGAAGUAGGCGGAAUUCGUUGUGUAGCGGUGACAUGCUUAGAUAUAACGAGGAACUCCGAUUGCGUAGGCAGCUUACUAAACUAUAACUGACGCUCAUGCACGAAAGCGUGGGGAUCAAACAGGAUUAGAUACCCUGGUAGUCCACACCGUAAACGAUGAUUACUAGUUGCAUGCGAUAUGAUAGUAUGUGACCAAGCGAAAGCGAUAAGUAAUCCACCUGGGGAGUACGCCGGCAACGGUGAAACUCAAAGGAAUUGACGGGGGCCCGCACAAGCGGAGGAACAUGUGGUUUAAUUCGAUGAUACGCGAGGGAACCUUACCCGGGCUUGAAAUGCAGAAGAAUAAUGAGGAAACUUAUUAGCUAGCAAUAGCUUCUGUGUAGGUGCUGCAUGGUUGUCGUCAGCUCGUGCCGUGAGGUGUCGGCUUAAGUGCCAUAACGAGCGCAACCCACAUCAUUAGUUACUAACAGGUCGUGCUGAGGACUCUAAUGAGACUGCCGUCGUAAGAUGCGAGGAAGGUGUGGAUGACGUCAAAUCAGCACGGCCCUUACGUCCGGGGCGACACACGUGUUACAAUGGGUGGUACAAAGGGCAGCUACCUGGUGACAGGAUGCUAAUCUCCAAAGCCACUCCCAGUUCGGAUCGGAGUCUGCAACUCGACUCCGUGAAGCUGGAUUCGCUAGUAAUCGCGCAACAGCCAUGGCGCGGUGAAUACGUUCCCGGGCCUU
This 857-nucleotide ribosomal RNA is filed under the name uncultured bacterium Hs1. Its description in RNAcentral is "SSU rRNA". It matches the Rfam family "Bacterial small subunit ribosomal RNA", at positions 524 to 1382 of the family's 1533-position model. The record is from RNAcentral. Lineage: Bacteria; Pseudomonadati; Bacteroidota; Bacteroidia; Bacteroidales; Bacteroidaceae.